CUCGCGUGUCGUGCCAGCAGCCGCGGUAAUACAGAGGAUGCAAGCGUUAUCCGGAAUGAUUGGGCGUAAAGCGCGCGUAGGUGGUUCGUUAAGUUGGACGUGAAAUCCCCGGGCUCAACCUGGGAACUGCAUUCAAAACUGUCGAGCUAGAGUAUGGUAGAGGGUGGUGGAAUUUCCUGUGUAGCGGUGAAAUGCGUAGAUAUAGGAAGGAACACCAGUGGCGAAGGCGACCACCUGGACUGAUACUGACACUGAGGUGCGAAAGCGUGGGGAGCAAAACAGGAUUAGAUACCCUGGUAGUCCACGCCGUAAACGAUGUCAACUAGCCGUUGGGAGCCUUGAGCUCUUAGUGGCGCAGCUAACGCAUUAAGUUGACCGCCUGGGGA
Molecule: ribosomal RNA, 386 nt
Filed under: uncultured bacterium
Lineage: Bacteria
Description: bacterial SSU rRNA
Rfam family: Bacterial small subunit ribosomal RNA
Source: RNAcentral